AGCGAACGCUGGCGGCAGGCCUAACACAUGCAAGUCGAACGAACUCUUCGGAGUUAGUGGCGGACGGGUGAGUAACACGUGGGAACGUGCCUUUUGGUUCGGAAUAACUCAGGGAAACUUGUGCUAAUACCGAAUGUGCCCUUCGGGGGAAAGAUUUAUCGCCAUUAGAGCGGCCCGCGUCUGAUUAGCUAGUUGGUGAGGUAACGGCUCACCAAGGCGACGAUCAGUAGCUGGUCUGAGAGGAUGACCAGCCACACUGGGACUGAGACACGGCCCAGACUCCUACGGGAAGCAGCAGUGGGGAAUCUUGCGCAAUGGGCGAAAGCCUGACGCAGCCAUGCCGCGUGAACGAUGAAGGUCUUAAGAUUGUAAAAUUCUUUCACCGGGGACGAUAAUGACGGUACCCGGAGAAGAAGCCCCGGCUAACUUCGUG
RNAcentral lists this ribosomal RNA (433 nucleotides) under uncultured bacterium. Its description in RNAcentral is "partial 16S ribosomal RNA". It matches the Rfam family "Bacterial small subunit ribosomal RNA", at positions 29 to 507 of the family's 1533-position model. The record is from RNAcentral.